This 253-nucleotide ribosomal RNA is filed under the name uncultured bacterium. RNAcentral's name for it is "partial 16S ribosomal RNA". It matches the Rfam family "Bacterial small subunit ribosomal RNA", at positions 524 to 776 of the family's 1533-position model. The record is from RNAcentral.
UACGUAGGGACCAAGCGUUGUUCGGAUUUACUGGGCGUAAAGGGCGCGUAGGCGGCGUGACAAGUCACUUGUGAAAUCUCUGGGCUUAACCCAGAACGGCCAAGUGAAACUGUCGUGCUAGAGUGCGGAAGGGGCAAUCGGAAUUCUCGGUGUAGCGGUGAAAUGCGUAGAUAUCGAGAGGAACACCUGAGGUGAAGACGGGUUGCUGGGCCGACACUGACGCUGAGGCGCGAAAGCUAGGGGAGCGAACGGG